Molecule: transfer RNA, 93 nt
Filed under: Novosphingobium sediminis
Lineage: Bacteria; Pseudomonadati; Pseudomonadota; Alphaproteobacteria; Sphingomonadales; Sphingomonadaceae
Description: tRNA-Ala
Source: RNAcentral
UGCCGGUGGCGGGGGUGGACCGCCUGCGGCUCGGCGCGCCGCUGGCGGUCAAGGAUCUGGUAGCUGCUCUGCGCUUCUGCGCGCAGCCGCUGG